AGAGUUUGAUCAUGGCUCAGAACGAACGCUGGCGGCGUGGAUAAGACAUGCAAGUCGAACGCUCAUUCCGGGGUAGCAAUAUUCCGGAGUGGGAGUGGCGCAAGGGUGCGUAACACGUGGGCAAUUUGCCGUGAAGUUGGGGAUAACUCCGAGAAAUCGGAGCUAAUACCGAAUGUGACCCCCGGAGGACAUCCUCUGGGAGUUAAAGUUGGGGACCGUAAGGCCUGACGCUUCAUGAUAAGCCCGCGGCCUAUCAGCUAGUUGGUGAGGUAACGGCCCACCAAGGCUAAGACGGGUAGCUGGUCUGAGAGGACGACCAGCCACACUGGAACUGAGACACGGUCCAGACACCUACGGGUGGCAGCAGCCGAGAAUUUUUCACAAUGGGCGAAAGCCUGAUGGAGCGACGCCGCGUGGGGGAUGAAUGGCUUCGGCCCGUAAACCCCUGUCAUUUGCGAACAAACCUUCUCUAUGAAUAGUGGAGAAGCUGAUAGUAGCGAAAGAGGAAGGGACGGCUAACUCUGUGCCAGCAGCCGCGGUAAUACAGAGGUCCCAAGCGUUGUUCGGAUUCACUGGGCGUAAAGGGUGCGUAGGUGGCGGGGUAAGUUUGAUGUGAAAUCUCCGGGCUCAACCCGGAAAUGGCAUUGAAUACUAUCCCACUAGAGGGUUAGGGGGGACUGGAAUUCUCGGUGUAGCAGUGAAAUGCGUAGAUAUCGAGAGGAACACCGGUGGCGAAGGCGAGUCCCUGGACAACUCCUGACACUGAGGCACGAAAGCUAGGGGAGCAAACAGGAUUAGAUACCCUAGUAGUCC
Molecule: ribosomal RNA, 813 nt
Filed under: uncultured bacterium
Lineage: Bacteria
Description: bacterial SSU rRNA
Rfam family: Bacterial small subunit ribosomal RNA
Source: RNAcentral